RNAcentral lists this ribosomal RNA (456 nucleotides) under uncultured bacterium. RNAcentral's name for it is "SSU rRNA". It matches the Rfam family "Bacterial small subunit ribosomal RNA", at positions 26 to 518 of the family's 1533-position model. The record is from RNAcentral.
AGGAUGAACGCUGGCGCGUGCCUAAUACAUGCAAGUCGAGCGGCAGCGCGGUCUUCGGACUGGCGGCGAGCGGCGGACGGCUGAGUAACACGUAGGAACGUACCCCAAAGUGAGGCAUAAGCACCAGAAAUGGUGUCUAAUACCACAUGUGCUCUAAGGAGUAAAGCUUCGGUGCUUUGGGAACGGCCUGCGCAUGAUUAGCUUGUUGGUGAGGUAAUGGCUCACCAAGGCGACGAUCGGUAGCUGGUCUGAGAGGAUGAUCAGCCACACUGGGAUUGAGAACGGCCCAGACUCCUACGGGGGGCAGCAGUGAGGAAUUUUCGUCAAUGGGGAAACCCUGAACGAGCAACGCCGCGUGCAGGAAGACACUUUUCGGAGCGUAAACUGCUUUUCUCGGGGACGAGUAAGGACGGUACCCGAGGAAUCAGCCCCGGCUAACUACGUGCCAGCAGCCGC